RNAcentral lists this long non-coding RNA (2647 nucleotides) under Homo sapiens (human). RNAcentral's name for it is "HSALNT0351953". The record is from RNAcentral. Lineage: Eukaryota; Metazoa; Chordata; Mammalia; Primates; Hominidae.
CUUAGAUUUGAAGGUUGCCUUACCUUUUUAAAGAUUUUUUUUAUGAGUUGAUAGAAAGUCCUAAAAUCUUAGGAACAGAAACAAUUGAGAAUUACAAGUCAAAUCAUUGAAAUGGAGCCAUCUGACAGUUUAUGUGUUCUGCUGUGCCAGUAGUGAGUGGGAACAGUUUCUAUGUGGGAAUAUAAUCAGGGUCCUGACUACCCCUAAAGGAGCUCUUUCUUGUUUGGUGUGAAGCCAAUACACCAAACCGAGAGUGAGUAUCAAACAGUGUGGGCUUUUUUCAAUGGCCAUGGAAUUGCAGAAGUGGGAGCAUAGCCUGCAAAUCAACUUCUCAGAGCCUGAGAACUGAGGAUUCUUAAUGAAGGGGCUGGGUAUACAGAGGAAAGGGAGAAAUAUUCAUAGCUUUUCUUGGGAAGGGAGGUAGGUUUUUUUGGAAUCAAAGAGCCACCUCUUUUCUGCCUGUUUUUGGUCUCUUCUGGCCAUUGUCAUGGUGAUUGUCAACUGUCAAGGUGCCAGUGGGAGUGUCAUUUAGCAUGGAAAUUGGAUCAUAAUGAAGCUAGAGGUUUUUCAGAGGUCAAGCUGCCAUUGCGGAUUUUGCCAGCUUCAGCCAGUUUAGUCCUAAGAAGGAACUUCUGACCCCAGACAUCCUGUUUUCUAAAACUAAGCAGUUAAAGCUGAAUGGGAAUUUAGCUCUGUCACAUAGGCAUUUGUUGGGCAACAAAAGCAGGGUAGGGCUCCAGCUAAGCCACGUAGGCACUACGAUGGGCAACAGAAAGGUUGGUUUCUGGGCAAUUCAGAGAAACCAAGGACAGCUACCCCCAGAACUCAGAGUAGCCAACUGGGCUGCUCACAGGAGAUGCCUUAACUGAAAGGUGAUCAGACUCCACAGGAGACCCAGAGAAGAUGUGGAGGGAGCUCAGAGGCUGUCCUGGAGGAGACGUGGAGACAGCUCAGAGGCUGUCCCAGAGAAGACGUGGAAAGAGCUCAGAGGCUGUCCCAGAGAAGACGUGGAGAGCUCAGAGGAUGUCCCAGAGAAGACGUGGAGAGAGUUCAGAGGCUGUCCCGGAGAAGACGUGGAAAGAGCUCAGAAACUCAGAGACUGUCCCGGAGAAGACAUGGAAACAGCUCAGACGCUGUCUGCAAGAAGAUGUGGAGAGAGUUCAGAGGCUGUCGUUACUGCUGCACUUGGCUGUUUUUCUUUGGAUAAUUAUUGCAAUCAAUUUUAGUAAUUCAGGUGUUAAAUCACAGUCAAGCACCUAUUUACCUAGUGGGAAUACAGAGGCCUGAAGAGAGGAAAAAAGAGAUGGGGGAUGGUCGGUGGAGCAGUCAGAAUACACACAUUUACUGGCAAGUUUGUCAUCUUAUAUUGGCACAGUUGUGGCACCCCAAAACAAUUACAAUAGUAACAUCAAAGAUUACUGAUCACAGAUCACAUAACAGACAUAAUAAUACAAAUUUAAAAUAUUGCAAGAGUUACCAGAUGUGAUACGGUGACACAAAGUGAGCACAUGCUAUUGGAGAAAAUGGUGCUGAUAGACUUGCUCAAUGCAGGGUUGCCACAUGCCUUCAAUUUAUAAAAAAUGCAGUAUCUGAGAAGUGCAGUAAAGCAAAGCACAAUAAAAUCAGGUAUGAGGCUGGGCAUGGUGGCUCAUGCCUGUAAUCCCAACACUUUGGGAGGCUGAGGCAGGCAGAUCACCUCAGGUCAGAAGUUCAACCAGCCUGACCAACAUGGAGAAACCCAGUCUCUACUAAAAAUACAAAAUUAGCUGGGUGUGGUGAUGCAUGCCUGUAAUCCCAGCUACUCGGGAGGCUGAGGCAGGAAAAUCGCUUGAACCCAGGAGGGGGAGGUUGCGGUGAGCCCAGAUCUUGCCAUUGCACUCCAGCCUGGGCUACAAGAGCAAAACUCCAUCUCAAAAAAAAAAAAAGAAACUAGAAAAGAAAAUAAAACCAACAGUAAGCAGAAGAAAGGAAGUAAAAAGCAUCAGUGUAGAAAUCAAUGCAAUAGAAAACAGGAAAAAUCAUUUACAGGAAAUAAAUGAAACCAAACUCUGUCUCUUUGAGAAGGUCCAUAGUAUUGAUAAACUUCUAUUCAGGCUUAUCAGGAAAAAAAGAGAGAAUACAAAAACAACCUAUCAGGAAUAAGAGAAGUAACAUAACAACAGAUUCAACAGAUGCUAAAGAGAUAAUAAAUGGUAAUUAUGAACAACAUUGUGCCAACAGAUUUGACAACUUAGAUGAAGUGGACAAAUGUCUCCAAAGACACAAUUAUCUAGUCUUACUCAAAAACAAACAGACAGAAUAGCCCGGUAUCUAUUAAAGAAAUUGAAGCUGUAAUUUAAAACCUUUCCACAAAGACUCCAAUGCUAGGUCUAAAUGGCUUCAGUGAAGAAUUCUACCAAACAUUUAAGAAAAACAUGAUACCAAUUCUGCUAGUUCUUACCAAUUAUUCUAAUUAAAGAGAAAAUUGAAAAAGGAAGGAAUACUUCCGAAUAACCUCUUGCACUUUUCUCAGACUUGUAAGUGUGACACUGGGAUGACCAGUUCAUGGGGAGAAUUUUAUAUUCUUUACAGGUGAACUGGCUACAACCACAGGCAAUUUCAAUUUCUUUCCAAAUUUCUUCAGGGGAAUAUCUGAGGAAAAAUAAAG